UACGUAGGGGCCUAGCGUUGUCCGGAAUUAUUGGGCGUAAAGAGCUCGUAGGCGGUUCGGCAAGUCGGAUGUGAAAUCUCCGGGCUUAACCCGGAGCGGCCAAGUGAUACUGUUGUGCUAGAGUGCGGAAGGGGCUACUGGAAUUCUCGGUGUAGCGGUGAAAUGCGUAGAUAUCGAGAGGAACACCUGCGGCGAAGGCGGGUAGCUGGGCCGACACUGACGCUGAGGCGCGAAAGCGUGGGGAGCGAACAGG
Molecule: ribosomal RNA, 253 nt
Filed under: uncultured bacterium
Lineage: Bacteria
Description: partial 16S ribosomal RNA
Rfam family: Bacterial small subunit ribosomal RNA
Source: RNAcentral